GAGAGAUUCAAAUUGAAGCCCCAGUGAACGGCGGCCGUAACUAUAACGGUCCUAAGGUAGCGAAAUUCCUUGUCGGGUAAGUUCCGACCUGCACGAAUGGUGAAAUGAUUUGGGAGCUGUCUUGGCUGGAGACCUGGUGAAGUUGUAAUGUCGGUGAAGAUACCGACUACCUGUAGUAGGACGGAAAGACCCCGUGGAGCUUUACUGUAGUUUGGCAUUGGGUUUUGGUAAUGUGUGUAUAGAAUAGUUGGGAGAUGGAGAUCUUAAGAUGCUAGUUUUAAGGGAGUCAACUGUGGAAUACCAACCAUAUAUUAUUGAGACUCUAAUCAAGAAAUUGAGACAGUGCUAGAUGGGCAGUUUGACUGGGGCGGUCGCCUCCUAAAGAGUAACGGAGGCGUUCAAAGGUUCCCUCAGGUUGGAUGGAAAUCAACCAUAGAGUGUAAAGGUAUAAGGG
RNAcentral lists this ribosomal RNA (454 nucleotides) under Acinetobacter baumannii. RNAcentral's name for it is "partial 23S ribosomal RNA". It matches the Rfam family "Bacterial large subunit ribosomal RNA", at positions 1900 to 2365 of the family's 2925-position model. Lineage: Bacteria; Pseudomonadati; Pseudomonadota; Gammaproteobacteria; Moraxellales; Moraxellaceae. The record is from RNAcentral.